This 1408-nucleotide non-coding RNA is filed under the name Betula luminifera. The record is from RNAcentral. Lineage: Eukaryota; Viridiplantae; Streptophyta; Magnoliopsida; Fagales; Betulaceae.
AGUGACAUUUAUGUGGAUUGCCAAUGUGAAUUUGAAAGAGAUCGAAUUGUAUUACACAAAAUCAAAUACUCUAUAUAUGUGAUUUAGCUUGUUUUUACAACCCCAUAUAUAUAUAUAUAUAUAAGAGAAAGCGUAUCUGAUCCCAAUUGUAGAAUCAAGAGUAGCUAGAACAAGCCCUAUCGGGACCCUGGUAUAUUAUAUUAUGUGGAAUCAGAAUUCCCUUUUCUGGAAAAGAAGGAAAAAGGGAAGAAAAAAAGGAUAUAAGAAUCCAGAUUUUUUUUUACCUUUUUAUUUUUUGCAUUUUCUUUUCUCCCCCUUUUUCUCCUUUCUAGUUAGUUUAUUAAAAUGUUGUUACCUGAUUAAUUUUUUAUAAUUGAAGGAGAUAAAGGGUUAUAAGUGAGAGUUUUUGCUGAAUAGAAAGUAGAAUAAGAAAUUUAUUGAAAAUGCAUUAAAAAAUAAGAUGAAAAACGACAAACUUAGCUAAAGAAUGUACACGCAAAUUGACACAUUUAAAUAUUUUUAAAGUAUUCUAACUUUCUUUUUUUUUUAAAAAAAAAAAGAAUAAGAAAAACAAUAUCAGAGAGGAUACUACCAAAGUUCCCGAGUGACAACAAGUAGUUGUGGGUGAUAUUCUAACUCCAUUCAAUUGACGCGGGACCAAAAAAUAAAUAAUUUGAUCUUUUAGUUUUUUUUUUAGGUUUAUUUGUAUUUAAAUUUUAAGAGUUAAGUGUUAUUUUGUAUUUCAAUAAUAGGUUAUACUCCAAUGGAAACUGAGUUGAUGAAUAAUUAAAUAUAUUUUGUUUUCCCCUCUCUUCUUUUAGGCUUUUUUUUUUUUUUAUGUGGUGUGACUACCAACUUCUCAUUCUCUUUGGAUUGUGUGAUUAGAUUAUGGCCUUUCUUUUUCCCCUUUUCUCUAUUUUUCUUUUUCAAAAUUCCUUUUGGCAUGCAUCAUCAAUAUAUAAUUGUUAAAUUACAGAAAAUAUUUAAUUUAAUUAUUUAAUUAAUAUUUUAACACUUAAUAUCCAUCAUAAAUUUAAUAAUUUAAUUAAUAUUAUAUCAAAAAUGCAAGAUAAUGAUGAUCAUGUAGAGAGUAAAUGUGAUAUUGGCACGGCUCAAUCAGAUCAAAGGACCCAACCAUUGAGAGCUUUGAUUUGAUUGAGCCAUGCCAACAUCAUAAACUCCACCAAUAUUAAUCUAUUGCCAAGAAACUUUUACAUCAAUGAAGAAGGAAAGUAAGUAAAAUCCAUAAACGUCUAGCUAGCCUCCUUCAAUGUUGGAAGAAAUAGACGAUGCCCCAUGCUGCAGCCAUGCACUGGCCCGGAAAUGGCGACGACCGAUCGAAGACGAGAAAACAGCACAAGAAUAUAUGAAAUUAAUUCCCAGAAACAAGAAAGUGAUUUUAUUUACA